Molecule: transfer RNA, 67 nt
Filed under: Marmota monax (woodchuck)
Lineage: Eukaryota; Metazoa; Chordata; Mammalia; Rodentia; Sciuridae
Description: tRNA.Ala
Rfam family: tRNA
About the family: Transfer RNA (tRNA) molecules are approximately 80 nucleotides in length.
Source: RNAcentral
GGUUUUGGCUCAGUGGUAGAGCACUUGCCUAGCAUGUAUGAGGCACUGGGUUUGAUUCUCAGCACCA